UAAGCUUUUAUUAUUUUUUUCAGAUAUUAAACAGCCAAGUAUAUCUUUUUUGAAAGAUAUUUGUUACUGGUGAUAUGUUGUUCUGAUGUGAUAUACUUACAGCUUUUAGUUUGAUAUUUAGUUAAUAUUUUAAAGAAAAAAAUGUCUGAUGUUUUAAAAGACAGAGAGACAUUGUAUAAACUUAUAAUAAGUCAAUUGCGAUAUGAUGGGCUGGAUUUGGUGGCUUCCAGUUUAGCUCGAUGUGUUGGUCUCGAGGAUUUGCCACUUGCACCAUCAUCUAGGCUUCUAGAAUUAGUUAAGUUUGGUUUACUUGAAGAAAAAGCAGGAAGGGAGCCUGAGUUGGAUGUAGUACCAGGUCUUACUCCUAGAGUGCAACCAGAAGCAACAGGACUUGACACCAAUGUAAAACUGGGGCUUGAUUUGGAGUAUGAAAGAGAUGAUCGCUACACCGGUGGUGGAGAAGAGACAAUGAAUAACCUUGGGCUUCUUUCUGAUGUUUCUUUAAUAGAUAGUUUAAGAGACAGCAAUGCCUCAACUACUAGUCAUUCAUCUUUAUAUACUAAUAAGUAUACAUGUGAAAGCAAACUUGAUUUUUUUUGUAAUUUAAACCUAAUUCCAACGCCAUUAGUUAAAGACUGCCCAAAUACAACACGUAAUUGGUUAAAGAUGUCCGAAAAAUGUUCUAUGGUAUCAGAUGUUAGUAUAAAUAACAUUUGUGAUUUUGAUUUUCAAAAAAGGAGAAUAAGUUUUGCAGAUUUAAAUAUCAAACAUGAAGGCACUCAAUGUUUAGAAAUGAAAUUAACUCCAGCCAGCAGUGAAACAGAUUUUAGAGAGACUGAUUUCGAUUGUCUUUUACACGAAUCUAUUUUAUCUCCUGGCUUAUGUCCAAGUAUUGUUCCUAAAAAUGUGUUAGAAAAUGACAAACUAUUAGAAACUUUUGAGUCAGCAAAAUAUAUAACUCACGAAAAGUUUCUAAAUCCAUCUUUUAAACCGCUUCAAGAUAAUUUAACAAUUUUGUAUAAACCAACUUUGCAAGUUAGUAAUCAAUCAGGUUUAACUGAAAAAAAGUAUAAAGCUGAUGUUUCAAGGUCAGGGAAAUAUUCAAACUUGUAUGAGUUAGUUCUUAAAGAAAUUUCAUUGCAUGCUAUUAAUCAAACAAUUUUUUCAAAAACUGUCAUUAAUAAAACGCAAGGCUAUUUGUCAGAUAUUUUACGAUCAAAAACAAAUAAAUCUUUGGCAAAGGUAGAAAGUCAUCUUUCUCAAAUUAAAAGGUUUUUAAAGAAACCAGCUUCUGAACGGCGAAAACUUUAUCAAGAAUGCAUAAAAAAUAAAACAGAAAGUGCUACAGUUCAACCCUUAAAAAAAAUGAAAAGAACUUUGUUACUUAAAUCAGAUAAAGAAUUAUUAAUAAAAUUCUACAACGAGAAAAAAGGACUGAUUAAAAAGAAUGACCUUGAACAAAUCGGUUCCACUCUUAGCAUAUCUGCAGAAAGUGUAAAAGUAUUUUAUAAAAAUAUGAAACAACGUAAUGUCCAUUUAUAGAAACAGAUUAACACGGAACCAGCCCUCCUGUCAGUCAGUAUGAAACACAUUAUGUUACUGCACAUAAAGGUCCGGUGACUUCAGCAGCAUUUACUCCUGAUGGGCGUUUAUGUGCAACUGGAUCUGUUGACACAUCAAUAAAAGUGCGU
RNA transcript from Hydra vulgaris (swiftwater hydra), 1691 nucleotides. It is a transcript of the gene named cleavage stimulation factor subunit 1, with no coding region annotated. The record is from RefSeq and is a predicted model, not a curated record. NCBI's taxonomy places the organism in Eukaryota, Metazoa, Cnidaria, Hydrozoa, Anthoathecata, Hydridae.